Molecule: ribosomal RNA, 347 nt
Filed under: uncultured eukaryote
Lineage: Eukaryota
Description: SSU rRNA
Rfam family: Eukaryotic small subunit ribosomal RNA
Source: RNAcentral
AUAGCGUAUAUUAAAGUUGUUGCAGUUAAAAAGCUCGUAGUUGAACUUCAGACCUGGUCGGGCGGUCCGCCUCACGGUGUGUACUGUUUGACUGGGCCUUACCUCUUGGUGAGCCGGCGUGCCCUUUAUUGGUGUGCGUCGGGGAACCAGGACUUUUACCUUGAGAAAAUUAGAGUGUUCAAAGCAGGCUUAUGCCCGAAUACAUUAGCAUGGAAUAAUAAAAUAGGACGUGCGGUUCUAUUUUGUUGGUUUCUAGAGUCGCCGUAAUGAUUAAUAGGGAUAGUUGGGGGCAUUGGUAUUGAGUCGCUAGAGGUGAAAUUCUUGGAUUGACUCAAGACCAACUACUG